GUAGAGUAAAUAUCAAGCGUUAAGUUUCACAGAAUGGGAUGUUGUCUGUGACCGAAAACAACAUGUUGCGGUUUGAUAUUGCAUCCACUA
This 90-nucleotide non-coding RNA is filed under the name human gut metagenome. Its description in RNAcentral is "THF riboswitch". It matches the Rfam family "THF (Tetrahydrofolate) riboswitch aptamer". Rfam says of the family: THF riboswitch presents a pseudoknot that joins P1-P2 and the loop of P3 and two THF binding. The record is from RNAcentral.